RNAcentral lists this long non-coding RNA (831 nucleotides) under Neodiprion lecontei (redheaded pine sawfly). Its description in RNAcentral is "uncharacterized LOC124292834". Lineage: Eukaryota; Metazoa; Arthropoda; Insecta; Hymenoptera; Diprionidae. The record is from RNAcentral.
UACGCUGAUACGGUUCCUUUUAUGGGUAAACAACGAAGUGACUCACACAUUGUCGAAAAUUCGUGAACAGCCGUAUGCAAUAUUCUUUAACGCAAAAAAUUGCAAGAUAUUUCUCGAACGAAUCUGCAGCGCGUGGAAGAUAGGAAGGCAGUUCUUGGAACUUGGCCAAGAAGUUUCGCACGCCUAAUGUAUGAGAGAGAGAGCUGUGAGAGUGAACUAAUCGCUAGAGUUAUACAUGGAACUGUGAUGGGCUUAGUAGAUAUCGUUCACCGAGAGCGUUACGGGGAUGUUUUACUUUGCUUACGGUGUCAGUUUCACGAUUUCGAGACCUACGCACCAGUGCAGUAGGACAGAGUGAGAAGGAUAUACCCUGCAAACGUAACCGACAAGUGUCAACCACUUUAUGAUUUGGUGUCAGUUUAAUCGUGAUCCUAAAACUUAUGAAGAAGCUAUACGAAGAGUGGGGUGUUCCGUCCGUCUGAUGAAUUCGUUAGCAGUCGAGCUUGCAAACUGUUAAGAAAUUGCAACGCAAAAAACCAUGGAAUACGUAAAUAUUCUUCAACAUGUGCGGGUACUUAUAGAGUGGAUCGUCGAAGUACCUUCCGAUUUUCUCGUACAAUCGGUCUGGCUGGCAUUGAGCGUGCAUAUGGCGAACGGUGACCGUAAGGAUGAUAAUAACCCGCGAAAUGAUGUGAUCGUUUAUCAGGCAGGUGUGGCGGCCUGCCUGGUACGUGAUGAAGAGGGAGAUUUUCUGUUUCAAAAAAUAGAGCUGUAAACAGCAUCCAAUGUAGUAGCAUGUUAAUGUACACCAAAUAAAAAAUUAAAGCUUUG